This 253-nucleotide ribosomal RNA is filed under the name uncultured bacterium. RNAcentral's name for it is "partial 16S ribosomal RNA". It matches the Rfam family "Bacterial small subunit ribosomal RNA", at positions 524 to 776 of the family's 1533-position model. The record is from RNAcentral.
UACGAAGGUCCCAAGCGUUAUCCGGAUUUAUUGGGUUUAAAGGGUGCGUAGGCGGGUUAUUAAGUCAGUGGUGAAAGCCUUCAGCUUAACUGAAGAAUUGCCAUUGAUACUGAUGAUCUUGAGUAUGAUUGAGGUGGGCGGAAUGUGUCAUGUAGCGGUGAAAUGCUUAGGUAUGACACAGAACACCGAUUGCGAAGGCAGCUCACUAAGUCAUAACCGACGCUGAUGCACGAAAGCGUGGGGAGCAAACAGG